CCACAAAUUGGUUGGAGGUUGCAAAUUUGGAGGAACGAAGUGUGACAAAGGCUAAUAAAAAAACUACAAACAAAUUUAUGGAGACAGCCUGAACGAUAGACAAGAAUUGCUCGUGUUGUCUUCAUCAAUUUCCUUCAAUUCUCCGGGGAAAGUUGCAUCUAAAGAAGAAUAUAUUUCUUCGGUCAAAGAUGGGUAGUAGCCAGAGCAACACUGCGGAAAUGGUUGGAUAUCCAUCGACUCAUGUAGAGUUUGAGGAUCGCUGGUUCGCGAAAGGGAGCUCAAGGUUUGUGUACCGGGGUGUUGCUCGCGGUGAUCGCCGCGUCGACGGGAAGCCUUGUGUAGUAAAAGUCUACCAAAAUCCUUGGGAUGUUUACAACGAAACAUAUGCUUGGGAAUCAGACGACAUGGCCUAUCGCAAAGCUCAAGAGAUGGCUGACCUGUUUAAUAAAGAAUGCGAGACAAGUAAGCCCAUCAAAUUUAUGAAACCUGAAUUUGUCAAGGUUGAUACUCUUGCCGCUUUCAAUUACCUUGGACUCAUCCCGUCUGAGAGAAAGGUCCAAGGCAAACACAUGUCAAAGACUAUCCCCAAGUGGGCGAAAGUCGCUGUCGAGUGGUAUCUGGAGGGAGACUUUGUCAAAUUCUCAAGCAACACGGGAUAUGUACAUGAUACCCCAGCUGCCUCUCCAGGAGCGUUCAGUCAUUUUACCUACCAUAGAUCAAAUGGUGAGGUUUUGGUAUGUGAUCUUCAAGGGUUGCGUAGUAACUCGGAUUACAGAUUUACUGACCCGGCUAUUCUCAGCGGAAAAUCAACAGAACCUGUUUACGGGCUCAGUGAUAAUGGAAAAUGUGGCAUAGCGAAGUUUUUUGAGAGUCACAAAUGCAACGAAUUGUGCAAGACGUUUGACAAGCCAGACGUUAUUUUUAACCUUACAGAAGGUAGAAAUGUAGAAUUCAAAGCAGUACUUAAGGAUAUACCAGCUAUAAUGCCCACCUUUCAGGUAGUGGGGCCUCAGGGAUCGAAAGUGAAACAAAUGCAAAAGGAUAUAACCAUGACACCGAUCCAAGUCAAAUCAAAUGAGUAAGUCCACAUACAGCUAUAUGUUUUCAUGUGAUUUUGUUUGAAAAGAUUCUGACGUCUCCUGAGAUGUAUAUCUUGAACGUGAUAAAAGGUGCUAUUGCAAGUUAUUGCUAUUUUCUGAACAACAAACGUAUAAUUGAUGUCGGCGUAUCAUCAAUCAUCUUAAAUUUCCUAUUUCACACAGGAAGUUCAAGAUGAGUACAUAAAAAUGAUUCUGCAAACUAUGCAGCACGUGUUGGUCUUCAAACAGCGACCAUUUGCUUAUAUCUUUCCACACAUUAUAAUGCUGCUUUUUGCAAGUUAAUGUCUUCAGUAUUCCUAAGACUUUUGACGCUUAAUUGCUUUCCCCCCUAGUAUCGCUCCGGCCAUUUGUUUAAAGGAAGCUAAUCAAUUUCUAUUUUAUUUCUUUUAAAAUGCGGUGAGUUGUUUCAUUAACAAGGUGCAACAAUUUUCAAGAUGUAAGGCGCAACAAAUUAACACGAUAAAAAUUUUCCAAAAUUUAAAUUUAUGUUAGUAGAUUUUGUAAUGUUUGUUUGAUUUUCCAAUGUGCCCGAAGAAGUAUCUACUUUACCAAUCACAUAUUCUCUUCUGGCGACUGUACAUUCCACCGUUUCAGACCCAAAGCUGAGGUCAUACCAAGGUGUCACAUGAUGACAAACUACUUUUAAACAGUGUAAAUAGGGACAAGGACAGCGACCUUGGAUAUUGGCAAUUAUCAAUGGUUAUGAAAAACUUUCGGGUUUAUCAUUGCCCAUGUAGCAAUUGAAAUAAUUCUACAGAGAGGAUAUCACAAUAUUACAGACUGAAAUGCAGUUUAUUGAUGUUUCGUCAUAAAUGGAAAAUAAGUCACAGAUUCAUAAAUUAGUUUGACUUUGAAAAUGUCUUAUUUUUUCAAAAACAGCAUUUCCUUUUGCUGUUCAUCACAAAGAUAACCGAACUUUCUUUGUAAAGUAUAAUGACAAUAAGGUGUAGUGAAUUAAAACAAGAAAAUGCGUUUAAUUCUGACCUGGUUCAAAGGAGUCUGGUAAUAGUUUUGAUUCUGACCUGGUUCAAAUGAGUCUGGUAACAAUUUUGAUUCUGAACUGGUUCAAAUGAGUCUGGUAACAAUUUUGAUUCUGAACUGGUUCAAAUGAGUCUGGUAACAAUUUUGAUUCUGACCUGGUUCAAAUGAGUCUGGUAACAAUUUUGAUUCUGACCUGGUUCAAAUGAGUCUGGUAACAAUUUUGAUUCUGAACUGGUUCAAAUGAGUCUGGUAAUAAUUUGGUUAGACCUACACCACACUGAAAAAAUACAGAAUUGUCCAAAAGGUUCCUCUGAACAAAAUGCCAAGUCAUGUUGCAUCAGCAUUGCUGAGAUAAGUUUGAUCAGUUUCCUUAAUAAGUGUUAAGUACUAACGUUUGUAGUUUUAGUUUAUUUUAUUUCUUGCAGAGUUUUCUCUCGUGCUGCUCUAGUCCUAUUUAAUAUGCUGUCGGUCUUAAAUAUUGCCAGAAUAGUGUCUAAUAUGCGAGCUUUGUAAAGUCACUACACCCGCGGGUAUAAUGUAUGUACAUUCAAAGUGAAGUACAUGUAUGCACAUUUAGUUUGCUUCGUCAUGAAAAGUGAACAGUUGCAAAUUUUUACAAUUUAUGACGAGAUAAAGACAAAACCGUCAAAAGCAAUCUAAAUACAAACUAGUUGCUCUGUGUCUCUGCAGCAGGUGUCUCUUCUUUGUAUUCUCGAAAAGCAUAUUUCAUAUCCCAUACUUUUGAUAAUGUUCAAAUGGGUCGAUCUCCGAUAAUCACUGGCUAACAAAACAAACUGUGUAGGGUUCAGUUGGUUAUCCGGCAUACCGGAAGGUUUCUAUAUGCGGACUGUGAAGAUAUUGAGCAUGCGGGAACUUGUUUCUAAGUGAAUGUUUAGAUUAAGUUUGAUGUUCUUAAACUCACAAUGUUUUUGACUCAGUACGAUAACGAACAUUGUUCUGCAUAUUCGUGAAAUGAAUUUAAUUAUAUGGAAAAACGUAUAUUUUUGCCUUUCUCCUGCAAAUGAUUUAGGCCUAAUACUUAGAAAUUAAAGCAAAUUGUGUGUUUUUACAGCUUUCUUGUUUUUAUUUGUAACAGCGAAUACAUAUAAGAUUUUAUACUAUCCAGUACUUGUGUGUUAGGUGUAAUUUUACUGCAAUUGUCUGAUGCAUGUUCAAGAUUGUCAUUACUUUGUUGUUUAUCAUUUUUAAGUGUACAAGUGUAUUUACUAUGCAGUUGUUCAUGUUUUUGUAAGGAGACACGUGUGUCUUUCCUCAACAGAAUUGUUCAGAUUUUGGUUUAGUUUUGUGUUGGUUGUCAUGGCGUACAGCCUCAGGGUCAACCCGCCUUUUCGGUACCUUGAGUGGUGGCACUGUGUCAACAAAGACGGCAAUGCGCCAUAUAACCCCUGGGCACUACUCGACUGUAAACCCCCGAGCAGGUGAUUCAAGUAGCAAGCUCAAGGUUACUCACGCUUGAACGGGUCCAAAAGCUCGCAAAAAAUAGUUCAAUUCGGUGAGAGUAAAACUGCUGCCACUUACAAGAAUUACAGUUUAUCACCCAUGCUGCCAACAUCCCACAUUGCGGUUUCCGAGCAAGGAGACCAUUUGAGGGCGACCAGUUUUUCAAUGUUUUUUAUGUCCAGAAAAAAAAAUAGAUGCUGUGUCGGCUAAGAUUAUUCUUGAGAGAUUUUGAUUUGAAAAUGUCCUAGUUGUAUAUGUAAUUAUAGUAGCAAAGCCCCAAAUUUCUUGUAUAAAUUCUCUAAUUGAUCUUGACCACCAUAAAGCUUAAAAUGAACGUACACUUGCGGACUGGACGAUUUGUGGCUAGAACGCAGAGAAACGAAUAAACUAUUUACAGUGAUUGCAACUGUA
Molecule: long non-coding RNA, 3953 nt
Filed under: Acanthaster planci (crown-of-thorns starfish)
Lineage: Eukaryota; Metazoa; Echinodermata; Asteroidea; Valvatida; Acanthasteridae
Description: uncharacterized LOC110983010
Source: RNAcentral